Patella vulgata (common limpet) is the source of this 2969-nucleotide long non-coding RNA. RefSeq lists it as uncharacterized. NCBI's taxonomy places the organism in Eukaryota, Metazoa, Mollusca, Gastropoda, Patellidae. The transcript is spliced from 5 exons. The record is from RefSeq and is a predicted model, not a curated record.
CACUUUUUGGGACACAAUAACUCUCUUCCUAAUUGAGCUAGAAUGUUCAAACUUGGUGUAUGUGUUUAUUAGGUCAAUGCCUUGAUGGAGUUCAAAGAUGAGCAUUUUCCGCUUAGGGUAAGCAGAGAUAAGCAAUUUGAUUGGUUGAUGCUUUGGGACACGAUAACUCUCUUCCUAAUUGGGCUAGAAUGUUCAAACUUGGUGUAUGUGUUGAUUAGGUCAAUGCCUUGUUCUAAUUGGGCUAGAAUGUUCAAACUUGGUGUAGGUGUUUAUUAGGUCAAUGCCUUGAUGGAGUUCGAAGAUGAGCAUUUUCUGCUUAGGGUAAGCAGCGAUAAGCAAUUUGAUUGGUUGAUGCUUUGGGACACGAUAACUUGAGUUCUAAUUAAGUGAGAGUGAUGAAACUUGGUGUAUAGUUUUAUUACAUCAAUACCUUGACUAAGUUCGAUAAUAAGCAUUUUCUGCUUAUGGGUAAGCAGAGCGAUAAGCAAUUUGAUUGGGUGAGACUUUGGAACACAUUAACUCUCCUUCUAAUUGAGCUAGAAUGUUCAAACUUGGUGUAGGUGUUUAUUAGGUGAAUGCCUUGAUAGAGUUCGAAGAUGAGCAUUUUCUGCUAAGGGUAAGCAGAGAUAAGCAAUUUGAUUGGUCGAUGCUUUGGGACACGAUAACUUUAGUUCUAAUUAAGUGAGAGUGGGGACACUUAGUGUAUAGGUUUAUCUCAUCAAUACCUUGAGUAAGUUCCAUAAAUAAGCAUUUUCUGCUUAUGGGUAAGCAGAGCGAUAAGCAAUUUGAUUGGUCGAGACUUUGGAACACAACUCUCCUUCUAAUUGAGGAAGAAUGUUCAUACUUGGUGUAGGCAUUCAUUAGGUGAAUGUCUUGAUGGAGUUCGAUGAUAAAGCUUGUCUACUUACGGUCAGCAGAGAUAAGCAAUCUGAUUGGUUGAUAACUUUGGUUUUAAUUAAGUGAGAGUGAUGAAACUCUGAGUAUAGAUUCGUUAUAUCAUUACCUUGACUAAGUUUGUUAAUGAGAAUUUUUUGCUUAGGCUAAGGAUCGAUAACUUUGAUUCUAUAUGAUAGAGAGUGAUCAAACUUAGUGUAUAGGUGAUAAUUUGUUUGAUUGCUUGAUAUUUUUGAAAAAAAAUAAAUGUGCGAUUAAUGAAUAUGUGUCAUCUAUUUAUUUUGGGAUUUCGGCGGGGGACAUCAGCCUCACUGUUGGCUUGUUCAUGUUAUUACUCGAUGCCUUUAUAUUUUAAUAUAUAAAGUAUCACCUGGAUAAUCUUGUGGGUUUUUUUGUGUUAUUGAGAUCAGAAAGAGAGAAUUUGGGGAUCUUUAAACGUCAAGACAUUGACAUAAAUUCAGGGUCUCGGGUCUGGCAGUAGAUGAGUAUGGUCACUUUUGAGCUGACACUUGCCCCCGUUUUCUCCGAAGAGCAGCUGUGGUCUGAGGGUAGACCGAAGAACCUCAUCCCUUGGAUUUCCGUGAACAAGCCAUGGUCUCAGCUGUUUUCCAUACACGCCUUCAUUAAGACUGGAGAGACCACCCGACAGUUACCAUUGGUGUUUUGUGUAAUGUCGGGUAAAAGCCAAGACGACUAUUAUAAGUUUCCAUAUUACAUGUAGAUGCCAUAGCAAAUCAAAGAUCAUAUAAUAAAAUAAGUCAAAAAACCCAAAUAUGGAAAAAGAAAGAGCUGAAGAAAUGGUGAUUUGAGCACCUAUGCUUUCUCAUAGGUGUUUUUGGAGGUUUCCAUAUUAGAUGCCAUAGCAAAUCAAAGAUCAUAUAAUAAAAUAAGUCAAAAAAACCCAAAUAUGGGAAAAGAAAGAGCUGAAGAAAUGGUGAUUUGAGCACCUAUGAUUUCUCAUAGGUGUUUUUGGAGGUUAACUACAUCAGAAAGAUCAAGACAGUUGGAAAUGGCUAUUCAUAUUAUGGAAACUUUUUCUCACAGAGCUUGAUAAUCAGGUAAAAUGCUGGAAGAUUAUUUGAUGUAUGAUAACAACAAGAGAUCCCAAGCAUCAAUUUAUUUUAUAAUUCUGGAAAAGAAUGCAUUUGACCCAAUUUUUGAAUAUUUUUUUUUGUUUUUACUGUUAAAUAUUCAUCCCAAACACAAUUAGAUUUUAAUUCUCUACAGAAAUUUAUGUAUAAUAUAGAAUGUAAAGUGACAUAUAAAUCACUUAGAAUUUGGUCGGAAAUCAUAAAGUAUUUAAUAGGCAUAGUCUAGAAACCAAAUGUAGAUCAAAUAUACCCAGAAUUACAAAAAACCUUGACCUACAUUAAGGUGACUUUCCCUUGCUUAUGAAAUGAAAUAGGGUUUAAUAUCCUACUUUUCUGUGUUAUUAUGGUGAUUCUGCCCUACAACCUACAACCUACUCUUAUAUCAAAUAUUUCAACUGUCAAGGGUUGUUUAAAGGGAACCCAGGAGGGCCGAAUGGUUAACACACGCACAUUGGAUCAGAAGGGUCUGUCAUUGAGUCAGAUAAUUCGAUUGUCAAGGGUUCUUUAAAGUAAACGCAGUGGGGGUAGUUUCAAUUCUGGGCUUAUACCCAAUUAUCCCUUGCCAUGUCCUACACUACUGACGUGUGGGAACUAUGUCGGAAAAUCCAGUUGAAAUUUCUCGGCCAAUGCACUCACUGAACCACAGUGGCUCCUCCUUGCUUUUGACUUGUGAUUAUUUAUAUAUAUUUUGUACAUAUUAUUUAAUGUUUGCGAUUUUCUCUGAUAUUUUUUUAUUUUUCAAUCCUGUAAUCUUGAUGCUUUGCUCCUUUUAUGUAAAAAAUAUUCAUUUUGUUUGAGGAAAAGGUUCUACAUCAUUUUAUUACUCCUGCAAAAUAGUGCAUUUUUCUUUUGUUAGUUUUCUGUGUAUGCUAGUUAUUUCUAGAUGCCUCACAAAUCACUUGUAAUAUGAUUUUGUAGCACUUUUCAGUUUCUGAAAGUAUUUCAAUUUAGUGCAUAGUUAAUAUAAUUAGGGCUUGGUUUGGA